UUAGAGUUUGAUCCUGGCUCAGGAUGAACGCUAGCGGCAGGCUUAACACAUGCAAGUCGAGGGGCAGCAUGGGAGUAGCAAUACUUCUGAUGGCGACCGGCGCACGGGUGCGUAACGCGUAUGCAACCUACCUGUAACAGGGGGAUAACACUGAGAAAUCGGUACUAAUACCGCAUAACACUAUGAGAGGCAUCUCUUGUGGUUGAAAGUUUCGGCGGUUACAGAUGGGCAUGCGUUGUAUUAGCUGGUUGGUAAGGUAACGGCUUACCAAGGCGACGAUACAUAGGGGGACUGAGAGGUUAACCCCCCACAUUGGUACUGAGACACGGACCAAACUCCUACGGGAGGCAGCAGUGAGGAAUAUUGGUCAAUGGACGGAAGUCUGAACCAGCCAUGCCGCGUGCAGGAAGACGGCUCUAUGAGUUGUAAACUGCUUUUGUACAAGGGUAAACCUGAAUACGUGUAUUCAGCUGAAAGUACUGUACGAAUAAGGAUCGGCUAACUCCGUGCCAGCAGCCGCGGUAAUACGGAGGAUCCAAGCGUUAUCCGGAUUUAUUGGGUUUAAAGGGUGCGUAGGCGGAUUGAUAAGUUAGAGGUGAAAUGUCCGAGCUCAACUCGGGAACUGCCUCUAAUACUGUUGAUCUAGAGAGUAGAUGCGGUAGGCGGAAUGUAUGGCGUAGCGGUGAAAUGCUUAGAGAUCAUACAGAACACCGAUUGCGAAGGCAGCUUACCAAUCUAUAUCUGACGUUGAGGCACGAAAGCGUGGGGAGCAAACAGGAUUAGAUACCCUGGUAGUCCACGCAGUAAACGAUGAUAGCUCGUUGUCGGCGAUACACAGUCGGUGACUAAGAGAAAUCGAUAAGCUAUCCACCUGGGGAGUACGUUCGCAAGAAUGAAACUCAAAGGAAUUGACGGGGGCCCGCACAAGCGGAGGAACAUGUGGUUUAAUUCGAUGAUACGCGAGGAACCUUACCCGGGCUUGAAAGUUAGUGACUGAUCUGGAAACAGGUCUUCCCUUCGGGGCACGAAACUAGGUGCUGCAUGGUUGUCGUCAGCUCGUGCCGUGAGGUGUCGGGUUAAGUCCCAUAACGAGCGCAACCCCUACUGAUAGUUGCCAUCAGGUCAAGCUGGGCACUCUAUCGGGACUGCCGGUGUAAGCCGGAGGAGGGUGGGGAUGACGUCAAAUCAGCACGGCCCUUACGUCCGGGGCGACACACGUGUUACAAUGGUAGGUACAGAGGGCAGCUACCCAGCGAUGGGGUGCAAAUCUCGAAAGCCUAUCUCAGUUCGGAUUGGAGGCUGAAACUCGCCUCCAUGAAGUUGGAUUCGCCAGUAAUCGCGCAUCAGCCAUGGCGCGGUGAAUACGUUCCCGGGCCUUGCACUCACCGCCCGUCA
Molecule: ribosomal RNA, 1395 nt
Filed under: uncultured bacterium
Lineage: Bacteria
Description: 16S ribosomal RNA
Rfam family: Bacterial small subunit ribosomal RNA
Source: RNAcentral